GCCACCCAGUCUGCCAUUUUUUGUUAUAGCAACCAGAGCUGACUAACACAUUCCCUGAAAGAAACAAAGACAGAAGGACUGGGGGAGAAAGAAGACCCCAGGCCAUCUUCACUUCAUGAGUCAUGCAGGAAGCCCUUAGCUACUCUGCUGCCAUCUGCCCUGUUUGAGUACAAGCCCAGCAGAGCUGCACUGCAGCCAACAUAGACAAUCUGGCAGGACUCCAAGACUUCCGGGUUAGGAUCCCAGCUUGCAACGCGUUACUGAGCAAUCCUUCAUCUUGCAUUCAUUCAGCAAAUUUUUGAUCAAUAUUCAUUCCGCAACUGUGGACCUAGUCGCAGCACUGAGCGAGGUACAUGGGGUCCCUGCUUUCUUCUUCUGCGGGAGAUGGACAAAGAACAAAUAAAUGUACAAAUGUCAAUUGGUAGAAAGUCCUAUGCUAAGAACCAAACCAGGGUGCUGUGGUGGAGUGCCUGGGGAGCUCCCUCUGGUGAAAUGUAAGCUGAGAUUGGGAGGACACAAAGAAGCCAGCAUGUGAUUAUUGGAGGAAGAGCAUUCAAGGCCAAGAGAAGAGCUAGUACAAAGGCCCUGAGGCUGGAAUGAGAGAGGACAUUAGUGGAGCAACUGACAGGAUUUGAAUAAGAUCUGGGGAUCAGACAAGAAUGAGCCAGGUCCGGCGGAGAGAGAAGAAAAGCACUGCUGCUGUGGGAUAUUCAUGCCCAAGAUAGUGUCCUUCUGCAGCUCUGGAGGCUGACAAAGAUCUGCUUCUUCGGAGCAGGCAGCAGCCACAUCAGGGAAGAACUGCACCUCUGACCCACUUGCCGGUGACCCAGUUGCAGGAGAGGAAACUGGGGCGCCAGGAGAUGGGAUGACUUAGCCCCAGGUCCCCCACGAAUGCCUGCCCCCCGACUUCCCUAUGGCAGGGUGGACACUGGGAAAUCUGAGGACACAAAGAAAUGAUAACCCAUGCCUUCCAAGUUAGUCCGGCCCCUCAGGCGUGAGUGCUCAUGCGUUUUGCCCAGACUGGGGCAAGCCUUAGAUGUUUUCAUAUUUUUCAGAAUCUCUCUUCUUGACUUGAAAUGGCACGGCCAAAAGCAUUGUUUCUCAAAGAAGCUACGGAUGUAGGACCAGUCUUGUUUGUGUUUGUUUGUUAAUUAAUUCCAAUCCGUUAUGGACAGAUACUUCUGUAAAGUACAAUAAAAAUGAUUUGCUGGAAAAAUGAAGCAGAAAAAAACACAACAUAAAACACAAGCCCAAACCUCUACGGUUAGAUUUAACAAACACACACAUACUCUGUUGACUUGCUAUAAAAGUUUCUAAACACUU
Molecule: long non-coding RNA, 1323 nt
Filed under: Homo sapiens (human)
Lineage: Eukaryota; Metazoa; Chordata; Mammalia; Primates; Hominidae
Description: HSALNT0281625
Source: RNAcentral